This 468-nucleotide ribosomal RNA is filed under the name uncultured bacterium. Its description in RNAcentral is "partial 16S ribosomal RNA". It matches the Rfam family "Bacterial small subunit ribosomal RNA", at positions 28 to 507 of the family's 1533-position model. The record is from RNAcentral.
GACGAACGCUGGCGGCGUGCUUAACACAUGCAAGUCGAACGGAAAGGCCCUGCUUUUGUGGGGUGCUCGAGUGGCGAACGGGUGAGUAACACGUGAGUAACCUGCCCUUGACUUUGGGAUAACUUCAGGAAACUGGGGCUAAUACCGGAUAGGAGCUCCUGCUGCAUGGUGGGGGUUGGAAAGUUUCGGCGGUGGGGGAUGGACUCGCGGCUUAUCAGCUGGUUGGUGGGGUAGUGGCUUACCAAGGCUUUGACGGGUAGCCGGCCUGAGAGGGUGACCGGCGACAUGGGGACUGAGAUACGGCCCAGACGCGUACGGGAGGCAGCAGGGGGGAAUAUUGCACAAUGGGCGGAAGCCUGAUGCAGCAACGCCGCGUGCGGGAUGACGGCCUUCGGGUUGUAAACCGCUUUCGCCUGUGACGAAGCGUGAGUGACGGUAAUGGGUAAAGAAGCACCGGCUAACUACGUG